RNAcentral lists this long non-coding RNA (436 nucleotides) under Felis catus (domestic cat). RNAcentral describes it as "lncRNA (ENSFCAG00000047864.1)". The record is from RNAcentral. Lineage: Eukaryota; Metazoa; Chordata; Mammalia; Carnivora; Felidae.
UGAACAGGCCGACUAAGAAAAGUGCUGAAUUUUUUGAUCACCAAGCAGAGCCGAAGAUGGAUACGAAGUGUCUGACUGAAACAGAGAGAUGACAUACAACUCUGCAAACAGGAAAAGGAGGCUUUCGUGGUUUUCUGUAUGGUAGACUGGGCAAAAACUAGAUUGAUGAAGAAGUUUUGGAAUACAUGGAAAGAUAUUCCAUGAAAGUAUCCUGUUUGUUGAGGUAUUCAAAUAUCGGCCCAGGACCAGAAACACUGGCAUAAGCUCAGAGCUUUGGAGAAAGCAAAAUCUCAGAUUCUACUCCAGACCCACUCAAUCAGAAUCUACAGGUUAAUAAAUUCCCUAGUGGUUUACAUGUAUGUUGAAGUUUGAGAAGAACGGGUCAAUACCAAGGAGCUGUACCCCCUUGUAACACCAAACCAUAACUUCAUUUCAG